This 1111-nucleotide long non-coding RNA is filed under the name Naja naja (Indian cobra). RNAcentral's name for it is "lncRNA (ENSNNAG00000015506.1)". The record is from RNAcentral. Lineage: Eukaryota; Metazoa; Chordata; Lepidosauria; Squamata; Elapidae.
CCUCCUUUAACUACUGGCCGGUGCCAAUCCCCCCAGCUCGCUGAUUGGCUUCUUCCAAUCGUGAGCGAGGCCUGAUCAGCUGAUGUGGGGGCUCAUGGCUCCAGCGAUUGGGCAACCAGGAGAAGGAGGAGGAAAAAGAAGAAGAAAGAAAGGAAAGAACGCAGAAGGGAGGGAACGAGACAAGAUUCCUGGAAUCAUUCUUUUGAAGGACACCUUGCUUUCCUUUGCAUCUGAGGAUUAUUGCUAUUUUCACAUCCUGCUUGCAGAUGCAAGACAAAACAAAUUGACUUGUUUGUGCAAAAAAAAUUCCUAUUCUUAUUUUAGGGCAACCUUCCACAAUUUGAUAUUCCCCUAGCUGCUGGAUUACAUUAUCCAUAAUCCACAAACCAAUUGGGCAGUAUUGGCUAAGGAUCAUGGGAAUUUACAACAUAUUUGGACAGCACUAAAUUGCAAAGGCAAGUCUUCUAAAAGUUAUGUUUUAGAAGCUUAUGCUACCUACUGCCUGGCCCAUACUUUCAUUUAUUCAACUCAGUUUUUUAAAAUUAAGCAGUGCUUUAUUGAUUGCCAGAUUUUAGGGUACUUAAAAUGCUUGAUUAUUUCACAGUAGACAAAACCUAUUCAGACAAGUUCAUAUCUGGUCACUUGAACCAAAUGCUCAGUUGCUGAGAAAUUGAAUGAGGAGCAAGGGGAAGAACAGUUUAAUUAAUUUGGGAUACUUGAAAUUAAUGAGUGUUCCUUUGGAAUUGUCUGGCAUAAAAUUCAACCCGGAAAACAAAGAUUGGGGAAGAUUGUUUAAGAUUAACACAUUUGAGUUAAUAAAUCUAGUAUUUCUUUUGCACAGUAAUUAAGCAUGAGAUGUGAAGGAAAAUGUGCUGGUAUUGGAGUGAAUUAAUGAUUUCUUUGCAUUGUUCAUAAAGCAAUUUAAUAAACUUCGUAUUUUGCAUGUUAUAAAUGCUUUGAUUUCCUAACAAAUUUUAGAUGCAGAUAAUAGCUAAGAGCAAACUUUUUAUGCCAAAAAAGGCAAAAACUCUUUAGUACCAUUAAAGAGAAUCAAUCCUAACAGAUAGACAUAGAAUACCUUUAUUGUCACUUUGUAUGUACAUUAAUCGGC